This 67-nucleotide transfer RNA is filed under the name Erilepis zonifer. RNAcentral describes it as "tRNA-Ser(AGY)". The record is from RNAcentral. Lineage: Eukaryota; Metazoa; Chordata; Actinopteri; Perciformes; Anoplopomatidae.
GAGAGAGGCUCGCAGCAGCGAAGACUGCUAAUCUGCGCGUCUUUGGUUGGACUCCAAGGCUCACUCG